RNAcentral lists this ribosomal RNA (253 nucleotides) under uncultured bacterium. Its description in RNAcentral is "partial 16S ribosomal RNA". It matches the Rfam family "Bacterial small subunit ribosomal RNA", at positions 524 to 776 of the family's 1533-position model. The record is from RNAcentral.
GACGAAGGGGGCUAGCGUUGUUCGGAAUUACUGGGCGUAAAGCGAGUGUAGGUGGUUGUCCAAGUUGGAUGUGAAAGCCUUGAGCUCAACUCAAGAAAUGCAUUCAGGAGUGGGCGACUAGAGGACCGGAGAGGAUAGUGGAAUUCCCAGUGUAGUGGUGAAAUACGUAGAGAUUGGGAAGAACACCAGUGGCGAAGGCGGCUAUCGGGACGGUUUCUGACACUAAGACUCGAAAGCGUGGGGAGCAAACAGG